AAAAGCAACCAAACUCACAUUGAUACAAAGCGAAUGAGUCACUUGUAUUUUUGGUGUUACUGCUCUAUUUUAAAUCGAAUUCCCCCUAGUGUAAUAAAAAUACCAAGCUAUUGAUAUGAAGAGGGUGCGGUUAAUUCAAAUUAAUUGGGACUGACAAGAUUAUUCAUGGGAAUCCAAGUGAUACGGCAUGGUAAUUUGUCAAAGGCCAUCUGACAAAUGUAUCAUUUUCUUAGUCUCCGUGCCCUUUAAAUUGGGAUUUUUCUCAGCUGGGUUUAUUUUUCUGUCAUCUGUGAAGAGCGUGGUCUCAGUGAAGUUCUGAGGUUAUACCUCUAACUGCGUCCAAGGAACACUAGUCAACACGGCAGAGACGACUUGAAUGUGGCACUUUUUCUUCUUUUGAUAGUUAUCUGGUGAAAGAAACAAGCUAAACCUGGCUUCCGAAUUCCAAGAUCACAUUGUCCGGUGAGGCUUCUGAGAGACUUAAGAGGUGGUUUCUUAAACUGAAUAGCAGCUGGGAAAAAAAGAUGAGUCGAUGUCGGUUGUGGGUAUGGUAACCAUUUUGUU
Long non-coding RNA from Hyaena hyaena (striped hyena), 564 nucleotides. RefSeq lists it as uncharacterized. The transcript is spliced from 3 exons. Lineage: Eukaryota; Metazoa; Chordata; Mammalia; Carnivora; Hyaenidae. The record is from RefSeq and is a predicted model, not a curated record.